CUUCUUCUUUUCUUAUUUGGGGAAAAUGUAUAGAUUACAUAAGAAUGAUAGGGAAAACUUAACAUUCAUUUAUUGAUUUUCACUAUAUUUUCUCAUUUCAGAAUUCAAACUUAAAAAGUUGCAAUAAGUAUUUGAUGUAACAAACAGUUUCGAUAAAAGGAAGUCUUUUUCACAUUUGUAUAUUAUAGACAUAUUUUCCCUUUGAUGUUUGGCGCAUGCGCAUAAUUGUACCUUUCUGGUGCUGUUCUUAGCUGAUCGGAUUUAUCUAUGACGUCAGUGGAUUAGCGUCACAGGAAUUUCCAUUUCCUCCUAUAAUCUUUUGAUGUCGAAGUCAGCCAUAUUGUGACUUUCUGAAAGCUGCCGAUAUUAAUUGAGAUUGCUGAUAGCGAAGAUUUGUGAGUACUUUGAAAGAGUGAUUAUUUGAUUCUAAAGUAAUAUCUUUAGUUAUUUAAUAUAUUUUUCUACUAGUUGACCUCAAAAUUUCAUCUGAGUAGGUCUAUUUUCGAAUCCUCUGAUCUAAGCCUAACUUCGAUAUUUAGCUGAUUUGAACUUUAUUAUUUUCUUGGAGCUAUAUCAGUAUUUAACCUAAAGUGAUAGCCUAAAAAUCACUUAAUAGUUUGUAAUUGAAGUCUGCUUAGUAAUUUCUUAUAUUUUUACUAUGUGCAGAAGCAACAUGCAAACCGACGAACUCCUUGAUAUGUUAUCUAGUGUUUCUAGAAAGCAGCUCAGAGUUCGGGACAAUCUACGAGUUGAAGUGCUGUUAAAAUCUACACACAAGCUGCUAGACAGAGAAUUGAGAGAGAAACAACAGUCGAGGAAACGAAAAUGGGAUGAGUUGAAGCUGGGUCUAUGUCUUGCUAAGAAAUUGAAGCUGGAACCAGAUUCCCGUAUGGAGAUAGAUGACGAUACCUGCGAAGAACUUUUGGGUCUGAAAGAUUUUUUUAACAGUUUAAAAGCUGUUUCUACCUCGUCUAGUUAAUAAUAUGAACUUUAGUAUUGUAAAUAAGAUUAUAUUUGUCAUAUGUAAAUAUUCAUCAUUAUAAUGUGGGUUGUUAGCAACUCAUCAUCUGUUAUAUAUUCAUCUGUUUCUUUUUACAGCAAGAAUUAUAUUAAUCUCAAUAACUGUGAUAUUCUGUGGUUACCCGUCGACUGAAUCGAUUCAUUGUGAAAGGAGACAACAUGGUAAAACUGCCAUUAUUAUUGCCACUAAUGUAAAUAAAUUAUUUAUUUCAAAUUCUAUAUUUUGUCUUUUCUCUUACUGUAAUUAUUACUUGUUAUCUUAUUUCUUUCUCUUGAUCUCUUUAGCUAAUUUAUAUUUGAUGCUUGCCUUAAAUAAGACUACCGUGAUUCAAUGUCUAUUUCUAAGAUGAUAUAGUAAUACCUGAUUUGUUUGGAAGUGGAGUUAGAUUGAAAGAGCACCAGCGUGUAAGAAAUUUAGAUUCGUACAUUUUGAAUUUUUCCACUUAUUGACUCCUUUCAACUAAGUGGCUUGUUUUUGUUUAUUUCACAUUCAGUGCUAUACAAGGAGAGUUUAAUAUGAAUUUUGAUGCUUACAAGAUCUUAAAGUCUAAAUUUUAUAUCACAUACUUUAAAUAGAAUGUUUGUUUCAGUUAUUUUAAGUUGAUUUCUAAUCUAAGGUGUGCAUUUUAAUGAGAUUUUUAUGAAGAAUGAUAUUAUUUUAAACUUAAAGUUUUAUUUGCUUUUGAGACAAUUUGGACUUUUUUCUAAAGUCUGACAUUGAUAUGACAGCCAAAUUUAUAGUUUUGGUUAAAUUAAAUUUAAAUUAUUGUUGCUUUUCAAAUUUAUAUUACUGAGUAUUGAAUUAAUUGGAAUCUAAUUAUGAUCCUAUUAAUUUCACUUUCAAUUUUUUUUUUGUAAUGCAUGCUUUAUAAUUACUCAUUAUUGCUUUACUGUAAGGCCACUUGUGAAUUAUUGUUUAAAACUCUUUAGUGGAAGAUUAUAAUCCAUCUUCCAAGUCUGCUGUGUGCCGAGAUUCCUCUGUUUUGGGACAAGUCUUAAUGAAAGGAGCUGUCUUGUUCAAACAUCACUGGGAAGGGAAGAUGAAUACAAUGGUGGAAUUAAGUUAUAGUCAAGGUUCACGCAAGUGCUGAUGGAUGCACUCUGCAAGCUUGGAUUUGUAACAGCAUUUACAUCAGUAGACCAUUUUUAAUUGAAGUGGGAAUUUCAAUGAAGUCCACAGCGGAUUGGCCAUUUCUGGCAAUUGUUUCGUAUGGCAGUUCAUUCAGGAGGUAAAAGAAUUUAAUUACUGUGAGAUAAGAUAAUAAAUAUAUAUAUGUGUACUUAAGAUAUGUGCAUGUUAAACUUCUGCCUUAAGAUUUUUUUUUUAAAUUUACAGGCAAAAGUAGUUUACAUAUCUAUGCUAAUACUUUUAUGAUUUUGUUGCUAAGAUGUUCUUUUAAGAAAAUAUUCACAAGUUUCUUCGCAUUUGUUGAAGAAAUUUUUAAAAAAAAUUGGUGAUAAAAUGUCUGCUGAUUGCCAAAAGGCUUCUCUUAUUCCUCAACAGAUGGUGCUAUUCACAGUGCUGCAGUAUGACGAGUGUUAAUAGUUUGAGUAAUGAUACAUAAUAUUUUUAAAAAAUCUUGAUUAAGAUUUACAUAUUUUCCCUAAAUGUAAGUGCUUAUAUUUCCAAUUUUGAGUUUCUCUUUUAGACUUACAUGGUUAUGCACGACGUAUCAAUGUUGCUAUGAAAAUCUCCGAUUUUUAUUCGCUCAAUGUUGGCAGAUGUAUAUUGCAUAUUUAGUAAUUAAAAUGCAUUUUUUUUUUAAAUUGCAUUUAGGAACAAAUUAAAGGUUAAUUGGAAUGUUAUGAUCAUCUAUUUUAAGCCAAGUCUUAUAAAAAUGUUGGCGCACAAGGUCUAAAAACAAUAAUUUUAAUCAUUAUUUAAUAAAACUUUUGAAGUGAGUUACAAAUAAAAUGAUUAAAAGAAUGCUAUGACUUACAUGGAAAAUAUGUAUUAAAUACAAAGCAAAAUUAGCUAUGGUUAUCUUCUGUAAAUUAGGAGUGUAUAUUUUAUGGACAAACAAAAUGAGAAGUGAAAAUUUUUAAAUGUGUCACAUUGGGGUACCUAAGUACCACAAACAUUUUAAAAGUUUGUGUUUAUAUAUUUUUAUGUUGAAGAAUAUCUCAUUUUUUACCGUGUUAAAAUUUCAUACUUUUUGACAUAGCAUACAGAUUUUAAUAUACUUGGUAUAAUAAAAUUCCUUUUUAAAGAGUAAGAAACAAUUUUUAGGAUAACCGUGUGUAAAUAUUGUAUUUAAUAGUUUUGUUAAUGCUGUUCUAUAUCGUGCAUCUGUAUUUGUUUAAUUUAAAAUAUUAGAUUUUUCAUUCAUUUUAUUAGUGCAAAUUAUGCAUUAAUCAGUAAAUGGCACAAAAUAAAAGUUAGUUGAUAAUUCGGGCAUAUUUAAAUUGAGCUGAAAGAGUCUUAAGGAGAAAAAAAUUUUAAAUUUAGCCUUGUGUGUAAGUGUACAUGACAGAUUCAACCUCAUUAUGUUUAAUAAAAAUGUUCCUCCUUGAACUAAGUUGAAAUAAAA
Molecule: non-coding RNA, 3551 nt
Organism: Parasteatoda tepidariorum (common house spider)
Lineage: Eukaryota; Metazoa; Arthropoda; Arachnida; Araneae; Theridiidae
Source: RefSeq, a predicted model, not a curated record